AGUGAACGCUGGCGGUAGGCCUAACACAUGCAAGUCGAACGGCAGCACAGUAAGAGCUUGCUCUUACGGGUGGCGAGUGGCGGACGGGUGAGGAAUACAUCGGAAUCUACUUUUUCGUGGGGGAUAACGUAGGGAAACUUACGCUAAUACCGCAUACGACCUACGGGUGAAAGCAGGGGAUCUUCGGACCUUGCGCGAUUGAAUGAGCCGAUGUCGGAUUAGCUAGUUGGCGGGGUAAAGGCCCACCAAGGCGACGAUCCGUAGAUGGUCUGAGAGGAUGAUCAGCCACACUGGAACUGAGACACGGUCCAGACUCCUACGGGAGGCAGCAGUGGGGAAUAUUAGACAAUGGGCGCAAGCCUGAUCCAGCCAUACCGCGUGGGUGAAGAAGGCCUUCGGGUUGUAAAGCCCUUUUGUUGGGAAAGAAAAGCAGCAGGUUAAUACCCCGCUGUUCUGACGGUACCCAAAGAAUAAGCACCGGCUAACUUCGUG
RNAcentral lists this ribosomal RNA (492 nucleotides) under uncultured bacterium. RNAcentral describes it as "partial 16S ribosomal RNA". It matches the Rfam family "Bacterial small subunit ribosomal RNA", at positions 29 to 507 of the family's 1533-position model. The record is from RNAcentral.